Molecule: long non-coding RNA, 350 nt
Filed under: Salmo salar (Atlantic salmon)
Lineage: Eukaryota; Metazoa; Chordata; Actinopteri; Salmoniformes; Salmonidae
Description: lncRNA (ENSSSAG00000102284.1, ENSSSAG00075057533.1)
Source: RNAcentral
GAAGAUAUCUGGUAGCUUUGGAGAGGAGAGAGAGGUGGAGGGGAGAGAGAGAGGUGGAGGGGUAGGGAGAGAGAGAGAGGUGGAGGGGUAGAGAGAGAGAGGUGGAGAGGGAGAGAGAGAGGUGGAGGGGUAGAGAGAGAGGUGGAGACAGAGAGGUGGAGGGGGAGACACAUUGGUUGUUCCUAUUGCAACGAUAAUGUCUCUGAAACCUUUCUAGUCCCCAGUACGUCCUCCUCCUCCCAGUACGUCCUCCUCCCCAGUACAUCCUCCUCCUCCCAGUACGUCCUCCUCCCCAGUACGUCCUCCUCCUCCCCAGUACAUCCUCCUCCCCAGUACGUCCUCCUCCUCCC